This 1908-nucleotide long non-coding RNA is filed under the name Felis catus (domestic cat). RNAcentral describes it as "lncRNA (ENSFCAG00000050529.1)". The record is from RNAcentral. Lineage: Eukaryota; Metazoa; Chordata; Mammalia; Carnivora; Felidae.
AUGGGGUCACAGCAAGGCCCCUUGUCCCGGCGCCCUGGCCGCUGGCCCUUGGGGUCACAGCAGAGCCCCCUGUCCCCAAGGUCCCGGCUGCUGGCCCGUGGGGUCACGGCAAGGCCACUUGUCCCGUCGCCCUGGCCAUUGCCUAUGGGGUCACAGCAAGGUCCCUUGUCCCCUCGCCCCGGCCGCUGGCCUUUGGGGAUCACAGCAGAGCCCCAUCCUGUCGCCCCGGCCACUGGCCUGUGGGGUCACAAGCAGAGCCCCCUGUCCCCAAGGGCCCUGGCCGCUGGCCCUUGGGGUCAGGGCAAGGCCCAUUGUCCCAUCGCCCUGGCCGCUGGCCCUUGGGGUCACAGCAAGUCCCCCUGUCCCGGCGCCCUGGUCGCUGGCCCGUGGGGUCACAGCAAGGACACUUGUCCCGUCGCCCUGGCCAUUGCCUAUGGGGUCACAGCAAGGUCCCUUGUCCCCUCGCCCCGGCCGCUGGCCUUUGGGGAUCACAGCAGAGCCCCAUCCUGUCGCCCCGGCCACUGGCCUGUGGGGUCACAGCAGAGCCCCCUGUCCCCAAGGUCCCGGCUGCUGGCCCGUGGGGUCACAGCAAGGCCACUUGUCCCGUCGCCCUGGCCAUUGCCUAUGGGGUCACAGCAAGGCCCCUUGUCCCGGCGCCCUGGCCGCUGGCCCUUGGGGUCACAGCAGAGCCCCCUGUCCCCAAGGUCCCGGCUGCUGGCCCGUGGGGUCACAGCAGAGCCCCCUGUCCCGAGGGGCCCCGGGGAAGACUACGUGCAGCAGGAGGGGGGCCACGGGGGGCUGGGGGACCCUCCUCGAGCUCGGUGGCGCCCUCCCUCUGGGGGACACGGCGAGCCUGCGCCCAGCGGCCCCCUUCCCUCCGGGCCGGCCUGUGACCUCGGUUUCGACGCCCGCCCAAGUGACCUGCUGCCACCCGUGAGCCUGGAGGGCGCGUUCUGGCGCCUGCGACGAGGCCGGGGUAUUAAGAGCCGAGGUGGCGCGGGGCGGCGAGCAGCCGCGGGAAGGCGCCCUGGCGCGCCCCCCCCGCCAACCCCCCGGGCUGCAGGACCAGGACGCGCGCGCGCCCGCCCACCCCCGCGCGCCCCCGCCCGCCCCCGCGCGCCCCCGCCCGCCCCCGCGCGCCCCCGCGCGCCCCGCCUACCUUGGCCCUGCUCAGCAGCUCGGCCACCAGGCGGAUGGACUGCAGGUUGCGCUGCGCCAGCAGCAGCUUCCGCUCCUCCAGCCGGAUCUUCUCGUGCAGCUUCCGCUGCUCCUCCGCCUGCUGCUUCUCCAGCUUCUUCUGCUGGCGGCGCAGCUCGCGGUCCCGCUGCUUCUGCUCCCGGCGCCGCACCUUCUCCUCCCGCUUCCGCUCCCGCUCCAGCUCCUCCAGCUCCUUCUGCUUCCUGCACGGCAAGCGCGCGGCGCCGCUCAGCACGACGGACCGCGCGCCCCGGCUCUGCGCGCGGGGGGGGCGCCGGCGGGGAGGGGGCGGGGGCGGGGGCGGGCGCGACACGCGCUGUUCCAACGCGCGGGCCGCGGCGGGACCCGAGGAUCCGCGCAGGAGGCCCCCAGAGCCUCCGGAGGGAAGGUCUCGCUGGGGAACCGGACGCCGUGAAGGACGCGACCGAUGGGCGGGCCUCGCGACACGGAAACUGCUUCUCAACGACACACAGCAGCUGGGGGAGAGGCCGGCGCGCCGAGGACCCCCCUGCCGCAGCGGCAGGCAGGGCCACACCCCCGGGACCGCUGGCACGCGGCAGUGCUCACACACACACACACACACACAAACGGGCACAUACCGCAGGGACAACGGCCGCCCACGCCACGGACGAACAGAGGGCAGACGGGAGCCUCACGUGCGUCCGCGUGCUGCCCGGAGGGCCCGCCGCGCGCACAGCCCCGUGCUGGUGA